UUUUUGCAUGUUCGUCGGUAAUAUCUUCAAAUUGACAGAACAACAUGAAAGCCUCUGACCAAUCAGCGGAAGCUUCUCAAAGCCUGGUUGUGAAUCAUCGUCCCGAUGUUCGGCGAGUACGCCGACCAAUGAGAGGCUGCCAAUUUGCCGAAGUUCCCGUAUGUGAUUAGGUAUUGGCAUAUGGAUAAUCAGCUGUUGUGGGCGGAGCUUCCGCCACACGAUUGAUAACACGACAGCGCCUGGGAGUCAGGAAGGGGCUUGCAAGGGGGACAAAGGAUUCCUACUUGGGACAUUGCCAACAAAGUGCAUGCUUUCUCUCGGCAAUGCGAAUUUCCCGCGCAAAGACAAGGAGUUCCAGUGAAAUUGGCAGAAGAAACAGGCAAGAAGCAAAAGGCACGUGAGACUUCAGGACGUCACGAACACUCUACUAAAGGUCAGCUUCAAGAAUUGGAAUUAUACGAGGGAGGAUAACUAGUCCGCGAUUUUCUGUGCCUCGUGACUGUGGUCUCAAGAACGUUUCCAACGCAACUAAACGUCAUUCAAAGCGUCAGUGGGCGAGCCUACGUCACCGCUGAUGCCUGCAACAGGAAACGCGGGCGUGUCACACUCCGCGGAUUCCGUCCUCCGUAAAAGUCACCCCUGCACCAGCCUCCCAGGUAUGUGACGGUCUAUCGACCCGCCCAUCUGUUCUGAAUAUCGGAUGUGGCGCCAUGGUGCAUCUCCUUGCCGCCUCCGACUGACGUUCAUCUUCAGCAAC
Molecule: long non-coding RNA, 757 nt
Organism: Branchiostoma belcheri (Belcher's lancelet)
Lineage: Eukaryota; Metazoa; Chordata; Leptocardii; Amphioxiformes; Branchiostomatidae
Exons: 3
Source: RefSeq, a predicted model, not a curated record